UUAUAUAUAUUGCAGCUCCUCUCCCCACCUUCUCAUCUUCCAUCACAGUCGGCAAAUCUUCUAACAAAUCAAAUCUAAAGGUUGUUGCCAAUCCAACUGUAGUUGCUCCGAUUAAGCCGAUGCAGAAAGGUAGGAGGGAAGCGGAAGCUGCGGUUGAGAAGGCAAGUGCAAAAAAGCAGAAAAAGGAUUUAGCUUUAAAACAAGCUAUGGAGAAAAUACUUCUUCUGAUUCUGAGUAAGGUGGAAAGCAGUGAUGAAGAUUACUUCUUCUGAUUUUGAGGAAGAAUUGAAGGUCAGUAGAUAAAAAUAUCUCUGUAUGUGCAUGCUUGCAAGUUUAUGAAAUUUGAACUAGUACCAUUUAAUGUUGUAUGCUUUUAUUGACCUAGAUUUGAUUUCUUGUAAUGGAUUCUUAGAAAAACCAGUGUUCUUAUAUUUUUUG
Molecule: long non-coding RNA, 438 nt
Organism: Ipomoea nil (Japanese morning glory)
Lineage: Eukaryota; Viridiplantae; Streptophyta; Magnoliopsida; Solanales; Convolvulaceae
Exons: 3
Source: RefSeq, a predicted model, not a curated record